This 26-nucleotide non-coding RNA is filed under the name Homo sapiens (human). The record is from RNAcentral. Lineage: Eukaryota; Metazoa; Chordata; Mammalia; Primates; Hominidae.
UGGUGAAACUCUAGGCUGUGCUGACA